RNAcentral lists this ribosomal RNA (233 nucleotides) under uncultured bacterium. RNAcentral's name for it is "partial 16S ribosomal RNA". It matches the Rfam family "Bacterial small subunit ribosomal RNA", at positions 524 to 755 of the family's 1533-position model. The record is from RNAcentral.
UACGAAGGGGGCUAGCGUUGCUCGGAAUUACUGGGCGUAAAGCGCACGUAGGCGGCUUUCUAAGUCGGGGUGAAAUCCUGGAGCUCAACUCCAGAACUGCCUUCGAUACUGGAGAGCUCGAGUCCGGGAGAGGUGAGUGGAACUGCGAGUGUAGAGGUGAAAUUCGUAGAUAUUCGCAAGAACACCAGUGGCGAAGGCGGCUCACUGGCCCGGUACUGACGCCUUGAGGUGCG